UACGAAGGGGGCUAGCGUUGCUCGGAAUCACUGGGCGUAAAGGGUGCGUAGGCGGGUCUUUAAGUCAGGGGUGAAAUCCUGGAGCUCAACUCCAGAACUGCCUUUGAUACUGAGGAUCUUGAGUUCGGGAGAGGUGAGUGGAACUGCGAGUGUAGAGGUGAAAUUCGUAGAUAUUCGCAAGAACACCAGUGGCGAAGGCGGCUCACUGGCCCGAUACUGACGCUGAGGCGCGAAAGCGUGGGGAGCGAACGGG
RNAcentral lists this ribosomal RNA (253 nucleotides) under uncultured bacterium. RNAcentral describes it as "partial 16S ribosomal RNA". It matches the Rfam family "Bacterial small subunit ribosomal RNA", at positions 524 to 776 of the family's 1533-position model. The record is from RNAcentral.